GCUCCCUCGCGCGCCGCAGAGUGAGGCUGGGAGCCGGAAGAUGAUGUCAUCUUCUGGUUCCCAGCCUCACUCUGCAGCCGACGCGC
This 86-nucleotide microRNA precursor is filed under the name Pelobates cultripes (western spadefoot toad). The record is from RNAcentral. Lineage: Eukaryota; Metazoa; Chordata; Amphibia; Anura; Pelobatidae.